GAUGAACGCUGGCGGCGUGCCUAAUACAUGCAAGUCGAGCGAACAGACGAGGAGCUUGCUCCUCUGACGUUAGCGGCGGACGGGUGAGUAACACGUGGAUAACCUACCUAUAAGACUGGGAUAACUUUGGGACACCGGCGCUAAUACCGGAUAAUAUAUUGAACCGCAUGGUUCAAUAGUUAAAGACGGUUUUGCUGUCACUUAUAGAUGGAUCCGCGCCGCAUUAGCUAGUUGGUAAGGUAACGGCUUACCAAGGCAACGAUGCGUAGCCGACCUGAGAGGCGGAUCGGCCACACUGGAACGGAGGCACGGUCCAGACUCCUACGGGAGGCAGCAGUAGGGAAUCUUCCGCAAUGGGCGAAAUCCUGACGGAGCAACGCCGCGUGAGUGAUGAAGGUCUUCGGAUCGUAAAACUCUGUUAUGAGGGAAGAACAAAUGUGUAAGUAACUAGGCACGUCUUGACGGUACCUAGUCAGAAAGCCACGGCUAACUACGUG
RNAcentral lists this ribosomal RNA (497 nucleotides) under uncultured bacterium. RNAcentral's name for it is "partial 16S ribosomal RNA". It matches the Rfam family "Bacterial small subunit ribosomal RNA", at positions 28 to 507 of the family's 1533-position model. The record is from RNAcentral.